UCCCUGGUGGCCCAGAUGGUAGAGAAUCUGCCUACAAUGCAGAAGGCCCAGGUUUGAUCCCUGGGUUGGGAA
This 72-nucleotide transfer RNA is filed under the name Capra hircus (goat). It matches the Rfam family "tRNA". From Rfam's summary of the family: Transfer RNA (tRNA) molecules are approximately 80 nucleotides in length. Their secondary structure includes four short double-helical elements and three loops (D, anti-codon, and T loops). RNAcentral also lists the same sequence under 1 other name. The record is from Rfam by way of RNAcentral. Lineage: Eukaryota; Metazoa; Chordata; Mammalia; Artiodactyla; Bovidae.